ACAAACUUGGUCAUUUAGAGGAAGUAAAAGUCGUAACAAGGUCUCCGUAGGUGAACCUGCGGAGGGAUCAUUACGAAAACGAGUUGCGAGACUCGGAAACCAUCGCGAACAUUACCUCGUCGUUGCUUCGGCGGCGCGGCCCGCUGAGGGCGCCCGCCGGAGGUGCGCCGGACACCCUAUUUCUUAGCGACUCUCUGAGUGGAUACGGCAAAAUCAAGUCAAAACUUUCAACAACGGAUCUCUUGGUUCUGGCAUCGAUGAAGAACGCAGC
Molecule: unclassified non-coding RNA, 271 nt
Filed under: uncultured fungus
Lineage: Eukaryota; Fungi
Description: partial contains small subunit ribosomal RNA, internal transcribed spacer 1, and 5.8S ribosomal RNA
Rfam family: Eukaryotic small subunit ribosomal RNA (bases 1-73)
Source: RNAcentral